RNAcentral lists this ribosomal RNA (669 nucleotides) under Triticum aestivum (bread wheat). RNAcentral describes it as "partial small subunit ribosomal RNA". The record is from RNAcentral. Lineage: Eukaryota; Viridiplantae; Streptophyta; Magnoliopsida; Poales; Poaceae.
AUGAUCCAGCUCCUGUUCGUGGUGCUCGUCGCCGAGGCGGCCGUGGCGACGGUGCUGCUCUUCAAGACGCCGCUGCGGAAGCUCGCCAUGCUGGGUCUCGACCGCCUCAAGCGCGGCCGCCGGGCGCCCGUCGCCGUCAAGACCGUCGCCGGCGUCGUCGUCACGCUCCUCGCCUCCACGCUCUACAGCAUGGCCGAGAUCAGCGCCCGCGCCGGGGACCCCGAGGCUGGAGGCGGCGCCGCCCUCUCUCCCACCGACCAGGUCCUCUUCUCGCGCCACCUCCUCGAGGCGUCCCUCAUGGGUUACACUUUGUUUCUUGCUCUAGUCAUUGACCGACUCCACCAAUAUAUCAGAGAACUACGUGGGCUAAAGAAGAAUGUCGAGGCUGUAUCGAAGCAGAACAAAACAUUAGAGGAAGGAAAACAUGGAAGAUCUCAGGAGAUAGCGAAAUACCAGGAAGAGGUUGCCACUCUGAACGAGGAGAUGAAGAAACUGAAGCUGCAAGUACAAGAGAAGACCGAGGAGGUCCAUGUUGCUGAGGACAAGGCACUUGCUAUUCAAAAGCAAUCUGAAAGCUUGCUGCUUGAAUAUGACCGGCUCCUGGAGGAUAACCAACAUCUCCGGGAGCAGCUGCAGUCAAUUGAUCUCAGGCUCUCCAAUCCUUCCUGA